GAUCAUGGCUCAGGAUGAACGCUAGCUACAGGCUUAACACAUGCAAGUCGAGGGGUAGCAGGGUAGCAAUACCGCUGACGACCGGCGCACGGGUGAGUAACACGUAUCCAACCUUCCCAUAACUCAGGGAUAGCCUUUCGAAAGAAAGAUUAAUACCUGAUAGUACUUUUUCAAGGCAUCUUGAGAAAGUUAAAGAUUUAUUGGUUAUGGAUGGGGAUGCGUUCCAUUAGAUAGUUGGUGAGGUAACGGCUCACCAAGUCUUCGAUGGAUAGGGGUUCUGAGAGGAAGGUCCCCCACAUUGGUACUGAGACACGGACCAAACUCCUACGGGAGGCAGCAGUGAGGAAUAUUGGUCAAUGGGCGAGAGCCUGAACCAGCCAAGUAGCGUGAAGGAUGAAGGUCCUAUGGAUUGUAAACUUCUUUUAUAGUAGAAUAGAGUGAUCCACGUGUGGAUUUUUGUAUGUAUACUAUGAAUAAGGAUCGGCUAACUCCGUGCCAGCCGCGGC
RNAcentral lists this ribosomal RNA (506 nucleotides) under uncultured bacterium. Its description in RNAcentral is "bacterial SSU rRNA". It matches the Rfam family "Bacterial small subunit ribosomal RNA", at positions 15 to 518 of the family's 1533-position model. The record is from RNAcentral.